UGACGGAAGCUUGCUUCCGUUCAAGUUAGCGGCGGACGGGUGAGUAACACGUGGGUAACCUGCCUGUAAGACUGGGAUAACUCCGGGAAACCGGGGCUAAUACCGGAUAUUCUUUUUCUUCGCAUGAAGAAGAAUGGAAAGGCGGCUUUUAGCUGUCACUUACAGAUGGACCCGCGGCGCAUUAGCUAGUUGGUGAGGUAACGGCUCACCAAGGCAACGAUGCGUAGCCGACCUGAGAGGGUGAUCGGCCACACUGGGACUGAGACACGGCCCAGACUCCUACGGGAGGCAGCAGUAGGGAAUCUUCCGCAAUGGACGAAAGUCUGACGGAGCAACGCCGCGUGAGUGAAGAAGGUUUUCGGAUCGUAAAGCUCUGUUGUCAGGGAAGAACAAGUACGGAAGUAACUGUCCGUACCUUGACGGUACCUGACCAGAAAGCCACGGCUAACUACGUGCCAGCAGCCGCGGUAAUACGUAGGUGGCAAGCGUUGUCCGGAAUUAUUGGGCGUAAAGCGCGCGCAGGCGGCUUCUUAAGUCUGAUGUGAAAGCCCACGGCUCAACCGUGGAGGGUCAUUGGAAACUGGGAGGCUUGAGUGCAGAAGAGGAGAGCGGAAUUCCACGUGUAGCGGUGAAAUGCGUAGAGAUGUGGAGGAACACCAGUGGCGAAGGCGGCUCUCUGGUCUGUAA
RNAcentral lists this ribosomal RNA (687 nucleotides) under Pseudobacillus badius. RNAcentral describes it as "bacterial SSU rRNA". It matches the Rfam family "Bacterial small subunit ribosomal RNA", at positions 70 to 739 of the family's 1533-position model. Lineage: Bacteria; Bacillati; Bacillota; Bacilli; Caryophanales; Bacillaceae. The record is from RNAcentral.